Eurytemora carolleeae is the source of this 1062-nucleotide long non-coding RNA. RefSeq lists it as uncharacterized. The transcript is spliced from 2 exons. The record is from RefSeq and is a predicted model, not a curated record. Lineage: Eukaryota; Metazoa; Arthropoda; Copepoda; Calanoida; Temoridae.
UAUGUUCACAAUUAAUUUAGAAGACAUAUAUAUAUAAACAGUCCAGGAUUGGUUGAUUUAUUUGCUUUUUUACUAGCGACCUAGUUGUCAAAGUUGAUCGGACCUAUUUCAAACCCUUGGAAGGUUCAGAUUUUAUUUUGCUUAUAUUUUUUUUCGUGGCCAUAUUUUGCCAAAAAAUGGAUAAAAAAGAUACUUGUAAGACUGAAAAAAAAUUCGUUUGAUCUUUUGAUCCCCGUCCUAAGACACUAAAUUCGGAAAAGUUGAUAUAAAAUGAAUUUGUAAAUUAAAAACAAAACAAAAUUUUUUUGUUUUGUUUUGAAAAUUCGAGUCCCAUAAAACUCGUUUUUUGUCCAUAAAUAAAACCAUUCAAUAUUCAAAAAAAAUAUUUUUUUUAUAGUAUUCUGUGUCUUGAGACGCAUCUUUUGAUAUCCAUAUAGAUAUAUUUAUAUUUUUUUCGUUUUUAUCUGGGAUUUGUUUAAUCUAUUAAUUCUUUAAAAUGGAUCUUAUCCCGCCAUUUGUUUUUGUGAUGUUUUUAGAAUUUAGAACUUAGAAUUGGUUUAUAAAUCGACCAAGGACCAAAAAUUUGCGGAAACGGAUCGAAAAAAACAGGGAACUGACCAACAAACUGAAAAUUUUUAACUUUUUAAAAUCCGGAACCCUUAAAAAAUAAGUUUUGAGGGGAUUUCCGAUUAGUUUUGUAAAAACACUAAACUCCUCAAAAGAUUCCAUUUUGGGGAGGUUUCCGUUUUUUUUGGUUCGUUUCCGUGUGGAGGCGUUUCCAUAGCACCUCUCCUUUAUGUGUUUAUGUUCUAUCUAUAUAUAUAGUAAGGCGGAAACAGUUACGUGAGGAGAAGACUUUUCAAAUUUCAAUGGGAAGGAAUCCCCAAGAAGACUAAUAUGAAGAAUCUGGGAAGAAAAGAGGGAGACGAGUAAUCUGGGUUUAAUUCUUUAUAAUUCAACAACGGGUGGAGAGAAUCCGGGUUAUAGAUCUGAGUCUCUGUUCCUUUGGUUUAGAUUUUUCAAGAUAUUUAUAGUUACUAUAAACAAACCAGGAACAACUUA